CCUACGGGUGGCAGCAGUGAGGAAUAUUGGUCAAUGGACGAGAGUCUGAACCAGCCAAGUAGCGUGAAGGAUGAAUGCCCUAUGGGUUGUAAACUUCUUUUAUAUGGGAAUAAAACGUUCCACGUGUGGGAUUUUGUAUGUACCAUAUUAUUAAGGAUCGGCUAACUCCGGGCCAGCAGCCGGGGUAAUACGGAGGAUCCGAGCGUUAGCCGGAUUUAUUGGGUUUAAAGGGAGCGUAGGUGGAUUGUUAAGUCAGUUGUGAAAGUUUGCGGCUCAACCGUAAAAUUGCAGUUGAAACUGGCAGUCUUGAGUACAGUAGAGGUGGGCGGAAUUCGUGGUGUAGCGGUGAAAUGCUUAGAUAUCACGAAGAACUCCGAUUGCGAAGGCAGUUCACUGGACUGCAACUGACACUGAGGCUCGAAAGUGUGGGUAUCAAACAGGAUUAGAUACCCCAGUAGUC
Molecule: ribosomal RNA, 460 nt
Filed under: uncultured bacterium
Lineage: Bacteria
Description: partial 16S ribosomal RNA
Rfam family: Bacterial small subunit ribosomal RNA
Source: RNAcentral